RNAcentral lists this long non-coding RNA (1316 nucleotides) under Mytilus galloprovincialis (Mediterranean mussel). The record is from RNAcentral. Lineage: Eukaryota; Metazoa; Mollusca; Bivalvia; Mytilida; Mytilidae.
UAUGGUCGUUUUAUUUAAAAGUCAUCCAAACCCAAGCGAAAAGUAUUGAUCUAUUUUCGAUAUUUAUAUGCUCAUGUGUACUGAUAAUUUUAAAAGUAUUUGUUUUGCUUUCCAUACCUCGUUCCUUAUUGUUAAUUUUCCUUUUUUAGAUGGUGAUGUUCCUUUGGCACUAUCUUACGGUGUUUGUAUAUCACAACUCCUCCGCUUUGCCCGUGUCUGUUGUAACGUUUUGGAUUUUAAUGAACGAAAUCUAUGUAUUACUGGUAAAUUAUUAAGUCAGGGAUUUCGUUACCACAAAUCACUUAAAAUCUUUACUAAAUUCUAGAUUUGGUUUUGAAGUUUGGUUCUACCUGUAGAAAACUUAUUUCCAACGGGAUAGCACAUCCUCAUUUUUACGGAGAUGUUGUUUACCGUGCCAUUGGAUGCUGGAUGUGUAAUGAUUGAUAAUUUAAGUCUCAGAUGCAUUACUUUUUAUUAGUUGUAAUUGGCUUUGAACUAGCUGUCAGUAACUGCGAGUACUCUCAGAUCUGUACUGAGUGUCUUUUUUUUAUGGGAUGUACAAGUACUCGGUCACGUCCACUCUCUGUUUUUGUUAGAUGUAUUUCUAUUUGUAUCCAUCUGAUGAGUUAAGCCUUUUUCAACUGAUUUGUAUAGUUCGUUCUUAUGUUGUACUGUUACACCACUGUCCCAGGUUAAGGGGAGGGUUGGGAUUCCGCUAACAUGUUUAACCUCGCCACAUUCUGUAUGUAUGUGCCUGUCCAAAGUCAGGAGUCUUUAAUUCAGUGGUUGUCGUUUGUUGCUGCGUUACAUAUUUGUUUUUUGUUCAUUUUUUUAUACAUAAAUUAGGCCGUUAGUUUUCUCGUUUGAAUUGUUCUACAUUUGUCAUUUCAGGACCUUUUAUAGCUAACUAUGCGGUAUGAGCUUUGUUCAUUGUUGAAGGUCGUACGGUGACCUAUAGUUGUUAAUUUCUGUGUCACAUGGUCUCUUGGCAAUUGGCAAUCAUACCACAUCUUUUUUUUUUUUAUAUAUUAUAUGCUCAUAUGCAUUGAUAAUUUUCUUGAAAUAAUCAUAGAUUUUUGUUAGAUGUAUCCAUCUGAUGAGUUAAGCCUUAUUGUUGUCAAUGUUUUUAUUUGUUUUGAUGCUUUAUAUGAUUACAGGAUAUUUUCUAGUGUUUUACCUCUUGUUUUUUUACGUGGCGAGGAUCUUCAGAGGUCUCCACGUUUCACAGAUUGCUCUGUUUUGCCAGACAAGCUGGGCCGAGGGACGUCAGAGCACGUCCCAUAUCAAAAAGUAGAUAUUUCGCCGUAUAAACUAUG